CCUGCAGCAUCCGCAAGCAGCUGAUGGAGCGGUACCCACAACAUUGCAUCAGCCGCCGCCGGAGGUCCACCUCCGCCGCCGAUGCCGCCGCCGACCACCGCGGGCACGCUCCCGAACAGGGCACUCCACGCCCGGCUCCUCCGCUCCGGCGCGCUCGACGCCGACCCGUCAGCCGCCGCCCCGCUCGCCGCGUCGGCCGCCAACUCCUCCCUCCCCUACGCGCUCUCCCUCCUCCGAGCCCACCCCUCCACCUUCUCCUACAACACCGCCAUCCGCUCCCUCGCGCACGGCCCCCGCCCGCACCUCGCCGUCGCCCUCUACCGCUCCAUGCUCCUCGGCCCCCUCUCCAACCCCAACAACUACACCUACCCGCCGCUCCUCGCCGCCUGCGCCCGCCUCCUCCCCGCGAGCUCACCAACCCCGGCGGCCGCGCCGGGCACCGCCGUCCACGCCUCCCUCUUCCGCCGCGGCCUGGAUUCCCGCGACCGGUUCAUCGGCGCGUCGCUCCUCUCCUUCUAUGCGGCCGCCGGGGACCUGCCCGCCGCACGCCAGGUGUUCGACGCAAGUCCCCCCGGCCAAAGGGACCUGCCUCUCUGGAACUCGCUCCUCCACGCCCACCUCUCGCAGGGCUUCUACGCCCACGUGCUGCGCCUCUCGCGGCAGAUGCCCGCCGCCGACGAGGUCACGCUGCUCGCCCUCGUCUCCGCCUGCUCGCAUCUCGGCGCGCUCGACACAGGCCGCUGGGCGCAUGCUUCCUAUGCAAGGACCCGCCGGAGCACCACCAGGAAUCUGGGCACCGCUCUGCUCAACAUGUACAUGAGGUGCGGAGAUGUCGAGAGCGCGUGGUCCGUGUUCCGGGAGACGCUCGACAAGGAUGUCCGGACGUGGAGCGUCAUGAUCGCCGGACUGGCCACCAACGGUCUCCCCAGGGACGCGCUGGCCUUGUUCGCUGAGAUGAAGAACACAGGUGUGGACCCAGAUUCCAUCACCAUGACCGCUGUGCUGAGUGCGUGCGCCCAUGCUGGCAUGGUGGAUGAGGGCAAGAAGUUCCUGGACUGUAUGCCGGUUGAAUAUCGUGUACAGCCCACCAUAGAGCAUUAUGGCUGCGUCGUCGAUCUGCUUGGUCGAGCAGGGCAGCUAGAUGAGGCAUUGGCUCUCAUUAAGACUGUCCCGUUCAAGGCUGAUGUUGUGCUAUGGGGUGCUCUCUUGGUCGCAUGUAGGGUUCACAAGAAUGUCGACAUGGGGGAGAUGGCUGCCAUGGAGAUACUCAAGUUGGAUCCCCAGCAUGCCGGGGCAUGUGUGUUCUUAUCUAAUGUCUAUGCUGAUGCUGGGAAAUGGGACCUUGUACAAGGGGUAAGGAGCUCGAUGAAAGAACACAAGAUAUACAAGCCUCCAGGAUCCAGCAUUGUUGAGCUGAAUGGUGUGGUUUACGAGUUCUUGUCCGGGGACCGUUCACAUCCUCAGUCUGAUCGAAUAUAUGCAAUGCUUGAUGAGAUUUGCAAGACCUUAAGCCUCAAGGGACACAAGCCUUCAACUAAAGAAGUUACCUUCGACGUUGAUGAGGAGGACAAAGAAGUUUGCAUUUCGCAGCACAGCGAGAAACUCGCGCUUGCCUUGGGACUCAUAAGCACGACAAGAGGGGAUGUCAUCCGUAUAGUGAAGAACCUGAGAAUCUGUGAGGAUUGUCACUCUGUCAUGAAGAUAGUCUCAGAGGUCUACGAUCGAGUCAUAGUUGUCAGAGACCGAAACCGGUUCCACCACUUCAAGAACGGCUCCUGUUCCUGCUUGGACUAUUGGUAGGACAAAAUCAGAAUGAUGGCAUGAUCAUGUACUUCAAGACAAGUGUCUCAGCCGCUGGUUGACAUGAUUUAUACGUCACUGCGGAGUGCGGACUAAUUGAGCAAGAAGCUUGCCAAAAUUCUGACCCCAGUGGCACAAACUGUUCACCUAACGUCAAGAUCGGGGGUACUGUGGAGGGUUGUUGUGGGGCGGCGAAGGAGAUGUGUGCUCAAGCAGAGGCCUUUCUUAGACGGUGCGUGAUGACACGUUGGUGAAGCCAGAGGUGGCCGGAGGGAUCCAACAUGGGGGUCUUCUACGGUGGCCCGGCUUGGUUGGAUCGUCGGAGAAAAGGACGUCAGUACACGAUUUUGUACGGCCCGAGCUCACAUCAGAUCCAAAACUGGCAUACAUCGGUAUGUUUUUGUUUUCAUGUUUUCUUUAUAGAGUCCUUGUCUUUUGUUUGUUGUGGUGAAGCGGUGGCAUUGCUCCAGGGUAGGCAUAAUGUUCUCCUCGCCCUAUCCCCAUUUCUUUCAUGUUUUUUUGGUGGCUGAGGGUGCGUGGAGCUGUGUCUUCGGCAGGUCUUUCAGGAUCCGAUCCGUUUAGAUUUCCGGUGGAUCCUUCUGCAGUCAACCGUCUGUCAUGAUCUUUGUCGCAAAUCACAACCGCCGGCAUCUCCUGAUCUGCAUCAACAAUUUUCUAGCCGUUGCUUUUACAAGCUCUUGAGUUUUAAAAAGUUUUCUCUACGAAGAGAAAGCCUAGAGGAGGCAUCAAGCUAUGCUCACAGCUCACCACCAGUGGAUGCAGGAACAAGAAGACUUCAACACCCCAAUAUUUUUGAAUGUUCUUCUACUUUUUAAGGUCCCGUGACACUUAAUAUAUGGCCUUAGGCCUUUUUGAAGAAAAAAACUUCCUAGUCACAUGUAGUACUAGUGCGCUAGAAAUGCUAUAUAGCAUUGUUAUGCAGUACUUGUGUACAUAGUUAUGGUGGCUAAAUUUAAACAUAAUGAGAGUGCUC
RNA transcript from Triticum aestivum (bread wheat), 2794 nucleotides. It is a transcript of the gene named pentatricopeptide repeat-containing protein At5g66520, with no coding region annotated. The record is from RefSeq and is a predicted model, not a curated record. NCBI's taxonomy places the organism in Eukaryota, Viridiplantae, Streptophyta, Magnoliopsida, Poales, Poaceae. The transcript has 3 exons.